GCUUGAGACUUGGAAAUCUUGUAAAUUAGUGAGCUAAUGUCAUAAAGCGACAUUAAGCUUGGGUUAUAUGUGAACCUUGUAAUAAUGCCAUAAAGAGGCAUGGGAAUUGGAACAUGCUUAGAUAUAGCAAUAUUAUAGUGUCAUAAAGAGGCACUAGACUUAGUGAAGGUUGGAACUUCACCUUGUGACAUAGAACUAGACCGAUGGGUUACUAGUGAUGGUUACCAUGUUAGAGACAUGAUGAUUGGGUACUUGAGACGAUGACUAUGCUUGCUUGCCAUUUGUGCUUAUUUGCACAUGCUUGUGAGGGUCAUUCCCUACAAGUCGGCACUCCGGAGUUGGCCUAUGCGACUUAUGUUCGCUCGUGCGGUAUCGAGAAACCUACGGGGUCGGGAGGGAUAGACUCAUUCCUAGAGUGGGAAUGUUGGUGCUACCACCGGUACUUAGGUGGCACAAGAUGGACUACACUUGUGUAGGUCCUUAAACAAAAUUGAGCAAUGAUGAUAUUAAACUGGGAUAUGACAAUCACUACUAGGUAGGCUUAGUAGUGGGAUGACUUGGACAUGCUUUUAGCAUACUAUUGGACAUUUGGGUGGAUAGAAUAUUGGAUAGCAUUACUUGUUGCAUCUUAGCACACUUGCUUGUCAUGUUGGCAUAGACUAGUCAUGCUUUUGACAUACAUGUUCAUAAGAAAAUAAAUGUACAACUUAUUGUUAUCAUGUUACUCAUGGCAUAGUAAUUUAGCAUACAAUGCAUGCUUUCAUAUUAGCAGUUUAUCUUGUUACUUAUC
RNAcentral lists this long non-coding RNA (790 nucleotides) under Ananas comosus (pineapple). RNAcentral's name for it is "long non-coding RNA (ACOM_LNC021260)". The record is from RNAcentral. Lineage: Eukaryota; Viridiplantae; Streptophyta; Magnoliopsida; Poales; Bromeliaceae.